CCUCAAAGCCACCUUCCUCCUCUGACUCCUCUUCUUCAGACUCCUCUCUCUGCGUUGCCUCUCUCUGCGUUAUUAUAAGGUGUGUUAAGUAAUAUUAUUCCUAUCAGUUUAAUCCCUGUUACGUCCCCUAUCAGGGGACGUGUAUAUGGCAUCGAUUUUAGGAACCGGGAGAUGGAAAAAGAUGCUUGGUCGGUCCUCCUACUUCAAAUUUGGGGCACUGCGCGUGC
This is a non-coding RNA of Pelobates cultripes (western spadefoot toad), 227 nucleotides long. The record is from the annotation of a GenBank genome assembly. NCBI's taxonomy places the organism in Eukaryota, Metazoa, Chordata, Amphibia, Anura, Pelobatidae.